RNAcentral lists this ribosomal RNA (465 nucleotides) under uncultured bacterium. RNAcentral describes it as "partial 16S ribosomal RNA". It matches the Rfam family "Bacterial small subunit ribosomal RNA", at positions 338 to 795 of the family's 1533-position model. The record is from RNAcentral.
CCUACGGGGGGCAGCAGUGGGGAAUAUUGUGCAAUGGGCGAAAGCCUGACGCAGCGACGCCGCGUGAGGGAUGAAGGUCUUCGGAUCGUAAACCUCUGUCAGCAGGGAAGAACGGUCACUGUGCUAAUCAGCAGUGAAUUGACGGUACCUGCAAAGGAAGCACCGGCUAACUCCGUGCCAGCAGCUGCGGUAAUACGGAGGGUGCGAGCGUUAAUCGGAAUUACUGGGCGUAAAGGGCUCGUAGGCGGUAUGUCAAGUCAAGGGUGAAAUCCCCGGGCUCAACGUGGGAACUGCCUUUGAAACUGGCAGACUGGAGUGUGUGAGAGGAUGGUGGAAUUCCAGGUGUAGGGGUGAAAUCCGUAGAUAUCUGGAAGAACAUCAGUGGCGAAGGCGGCUAUCUGGCACAUAACUGACGCUGAGGAGCGAAAGCGUGGGUAGCAAACAGGAUUAGAUACCCGUGUAGUC